CAGCCGCCACGGUAAUACGUAGGGUGCAAGCGUUAAUCGGAAUUACUGGGCGUAAAGCGUGCGCAGGCGGUUUGUUAAGACAGAUGUGAAAUCCCCGGGCUCAACCUGGGAACUGCAUUUGUGACUGGCAGGCUAGAGUAUGGCAGAGGGGGGUGGAAUUCCGCGUGUAGCAGUGAAAUGCGUAGAUAUGCGGAGGAACACCGAUGGCGAAGGCAGCCCCCUGGGCCAAUACUGACGCUCAUGCACGAAAGCGUGGGGAGCAAACAGGAUUAGAUACCCCUGUAGUCCCUGUCUCUUAUAC
This 301-nucleotide ribosomal RNA is filed under the name uncultured bacterium. RNAcentral describes it as "partial 16S ribosomal RNA". It matches the Rfam family "Bacterial small subunit ribosomal RNA", at positions 509 to 807 of the family's 1533-position model. The record is from RNAcentral.